Molecule: ribosomal RNA, 266 nt
Filed under: uncultured Cercomonas
Lineage: Eukaryota; Cercozoa; Cercomonadida; Cercomonadidae
Description: partial 18S ribosomal RNA
Source: RNAcentral
GACUUCUGGUUUAAUGCACCUGGCCCGCGGCCUCUUAGGCCUGUGAGUGCCGGCGCGCGUUUACCAUCCUUCCAGAUAACGAGUCUUCCCUUCACUGGGCCGGAUUCGGGUCUGGAUCCUUUACUUUGAAAAAAUUAGAGUGUUUAAAGCAGGCAAUACAUUAGCAUGGAAUAAUAAUCUGGUUUCUUUAACUGAAGUAAUGAUUGAUAGGGACAGUUGGGGGUGCUAGUAUGUGAAAUUCUGGAUUCGGUCAAGACGAAAGCAUU